UACAAGUUUAUAGGAUCCACCAAAUUUUUGGUGUCAAAAAAAUUCCAAAUUCAUGUUGUUGCAAAGCUCUUAAAGAGUAGGAUGCGUUGGUGGUCUUGAAAUUUUGGUGGGAUUCACGGUUUAAGAGAAAUCUAGCUCAGAAGUCGAAAAAGGAUAAAACGUUUUGAACUCGAUUCAUACAAACCACUUGAUUAAAAUUUGUGAAAUUAGUGUCUAUAAAAAGCUCUCGAAGA
This 233-nucleotide unclassified non-coding RNA is filed under the name Hevea brasiliensis (rubber tree). Lineage: Eukaryota; Viridiplantae; Streptophyta; Magnoliopsida; Malpighiales; Euphorbiaceae. The record is from RNAcentral.